Molecule: ribosomal RNA, 125 nt
Filed under: Ankyra judayi
Lineage: Eukaryota; Viridiplantae; Chlorophyta; Chlorophyceae; Sphaeropleales; Sphaeropleaceae
Source: RNAcentral
AUACCCAGGUGCUCCAUGCUAAGAUGGAACCACACCGAUCCAUCCCGAACUCGGUUGUGAAACGUCUUAGGGGCUAAAAUACUUAUCGGGGAGCUGAUAGGAAAAUUUAGUCUAGUGCCAGGGUG